GACGGAGGGGGCAAGCGUUGUCCGGAAUUACUGGGCGUAAAGCGCGCGUAGGUGGCGCGGUGCGUCGGUGCUGAAAGCGCCGGGCUUAACCCGGCGAGGUGCAGCGAUACGACCGGGCUCGAGGCCAGCAGAGGGUGGCGGAAUUCCGGGUGUAGUGGUGAAAUGCGUAGAGAUCCGGAGGAACGCCGGUGGUGAAGACGGCCACCUGGGCUGGACCUGACACUGAGGCGCGAUAGCGUGGGGAGCGAACCGGAUUAGAAACCCCCGUAGUCC
This 273-nucleotide ribosomal RNA is filed under the name uncultured bacterium. RNAcentral's name for it is "partial 16S ribosomal RNA". It matches the Rfam family "Bacterial small subunit ribosomal RNA", at positions 524 to 796 of the family's 1533-position model. The record is from RNAcentral.